RNAcentral lists this ribosomal RNA (253 nucleotides) under uncultured bacterium. RNAcentral describes it as "partial 16S ribosomal RNA". It matches the Rfam family "Bacterial small subunit ribosomal RNA", at positions 524 to 776 of the family's 1533-position model. The record is from RNAcentral.
UACGUAGGUGGCAAGCGUUGUCCGGAUUUACUGGGCGUGAAGAGCGCGCAGGCGGUCGAUCAAGUCGCGUGUGAAAGCCCCCGGCUCAACUGGGGAGGGUCACGCGAUACUGAUCGACUCGAAGGCAGGAGAGGGUAGUGGAAUUCCCAGUGUAGUGGUGAAAUACGUAGAGAUUGGGAAGAACACCAGUGGCGAAGGCGGCUAUCUGGACGGUUUCUGACACUAAGACACGAAAGCGUGGGGAGCAAACAGG